Molecule: small RNA, 203 nt
Filed under: Oryza sativa Japonica Group (Japanese rice)
Lineage: Eukaryota; Viridiplantae; Streptophyta; Magnoliopsida; Poales; Poaceae
Description: sRNA Os04g0165450
Source: RNAcentral
UGUUCCUGACAUACUGAUCAUUCACAUGGAAAUAGUACUGCGGGUUGGAGAACUAGCUACUCACAUUGCUUUGCAUGAAUUCCGAACUGGAACCAAGGAACUUCUCUCCAUAUGCUCCUAACCCAGUUUUAAUUAGACCUGAGCUCGCACCAUAAAAUGGAUUGCCAAAUUGGCCAGGCUGAGGAUUUGCCGAGGGCAUCUGC